RNAcentral lists this ribosomal RNA (488 nucleotides) under uncultured bacterium. Its description in RNAcentral is "bacterial SSU rRNA". It matches the Rfam family "Bacterial small subunit ribosomal RNA", at positions 30 to 507 of the family's 1533-position model. The record is from RNAcentral.
AUUAAACGCUGGCGGCAUGCCUUACACAUGCAAGUACGAACGGCAGCACGGGGUUUACCCGUGGUGGCGAGUGGCGAACGGGUGAGUAAAGCAUCGGGAACGUGCCCUGGAGUGGGGGAUAACGUAGCGAAAGUUACGCUAAUACCGCAUAUUCUGUGAGCAGGAAAGCAGGGGAUCGCGAAGACCUUGCGCUCUGGGAGCGGCCGAUGUCGGAUUAGCUAGUUGGUGGGGUAAAGGCCUACCAAGGCGACGAUCCGUAGCGGGUCUGAGAGGAUGAUCCGCCACACUGGGACUGAGACACGGCCCAGACUCCUACGGGAGGCAGCAGUGGGGAAUUUUGGACAAUGGGCGCAAGCCUGAUCCAGCCAUGCCGCGUGAGUGAAGAAGGCCUUCGGGUUGUAAAGCUCUUUCGGCGGGGAAGAAAUUGCAUGGGUUAAUACCCUGUGUAGAUGACGGUACCCGAAUAAGAAGCACCGGCUAACUACGUG